GAGGGAGGAAUAUCCGCGCGUGUGGUUGUUGUCAGCACGUGUUCGCGUGUUGACCUCUCGAGUGGCUGGCAACCACACAGGAACGACACGCGUGGUCGUGCACUCGACACG
RNAcentral lists this non-coding RNA (111 nucleotides) under Rhodomonas abbreviata. Lineage: Eukaryota; Cryptophyceae; Pyrenomonadales; Pyrenomonadaceae. The record is from RNAcentral.